Molecule: ribosomal RNA, 424 nt
Filed under: Funneliformis mosseae
Lineage: Eukaryota; Fungi; Glomeromycota; Glomeromycetes; Glomerales; Glomeraceae
Description: eukaryotic LSU rRNA
Rfam family: Eukaryotic large subunit ribosomal RNA
Source: RNAcentral
GUACCGUGAGGGAAAGAUGAAAAGAACUUUGAAAAGAGAGUUAAACAGUACGUGAAAUUGUUGAAAGGGAAACGAUUGAAGUCAGUCAUACCAACGGGAAAUCAACCUUUUGAGCUCGGUCUCGUGGGUUUUGAAGAGUUUCAAAGCCUUCGGAUUCGCGGGAUUGGGAUCUCUCGGUGUACUUUUUCGUACGGUUAGUCAACAUCGGUUUUGAAUGUCAUAAAAUGACUGGAGGAAUGUAGCUUCGAUCUCGUAUUGAAGUGUUAUAGCCUUUGGUAGAUGUGAUGUUUGAGACCGAGGAUUGCAACGGAUACCCUUCAGGGCUAUUCGUCUGAUCUCUGAUACGUUGCCCUGAUGUUGAAAGCUUGCUUAUGAUGUUAGGGUAUUACGGUCAAAAGGUUAGAACGAAUUACAUUCGUUAAGG